GCCCUUAUAGCUCAGUGGUAGAGCACUGGUCUCGUAAACCAGGGGUCGGGAGUUCGAUCCUCCCUGGGGGCA
Molecule: non-coding RNA, 72 nt
Organism: Schistosoma margrebowiei
Lineage: Eukaryota; Metazoa; Platyhelminthes; Trematoda; Strigeidida; Schistosomatidae
Source: Rfam